Caranx melampygus (bluefin trevally) is the source of this 72-nucleotide non-coding RNA. The record is from the annotation of a GenBank genome assembly. Lineage: Eukaryota; Metazoa; Chordata; Actinopteri; Carangiformes; Carangidae.
GUAGCAAUAGCCUAAUGGUUAACACUCUUGUCUGUCACCCAGCAGACCUGGGUUCAAUCCCCACUCCCUGCU